RNAcentral lists this ribosomal RNA (408 nucleotides) under uncultured bacterium. RNAcentral's name for it is "partial 16S ribosomal RNA". It matches the Rfam family "Bacterial small subunit ribosomal RNA", at positions 28 to 526 of the family's 1533-position model. The record is from RNAcentral.
GACGAACGCUGGCGGCGUGCUUAACACAUGCAAGUCGAACGAAGUGGCGAACGGGUGAGUAACGCGUAAUCAACCUGCCCUUCAGAGGGGGACACCAGUUGGAAACGACUGCUAAUACCGCAUACUGAAGGAGGGGUUUGCGUCUGAUUAGCUAGUUGGAGGGGUAACGGCCAACCAAGGCGAUGAUCAGUAGGCGGGUUGAGAGGGUGAACGGGCCCAUUUGGACUUAGACACGGCCCAGACCCCGUCGGGAGGCAGCAGUGGGGAAAUUUCCGCAAUGGACGAAAGUCUGACGGAGCAACGCCGCGUGAGUGAUGAAGGCCUUCGGGGUGUAAAGCUCUGUUAAGCGGGACGCGGUACCCGAAUAGAAAGCCACGGCUAACUACGUGCCAGCAGCCGCGGUAAUAC